Molecule: long non-coding RNA, 246 nt
Organism: Anoplopoma fimbria (sablefish)
Lineage: Eukaryota; Metazoa; Chordata; Actinopteri; Perciformes; Anoplopomatidae
Exons: 3
Source: RefSeq, a predicted model, not a curated record
AGGUGCUGAAGUAGAUCCCCACUCCUGGGAUGGUCCGGGCAAAGGACUGGAGGAGCAGAAGAUGGAUGAGAGGCAGCUGUCCCAGCAGCCUCUCUGUCCGCACCACGCUCCUGAGCACCGUCAUCAUCCCCACUCUGCCCGAGCUGAAAGAGGAAUGCUCAGAUAAGCUGACAGAAAGACUUACCCGGGCUGCAUGCUGCUCUGCAAAGUCUGCAGACGGGUCUUGACCAGGUCCAGAGGUUGGAA